AACGAACGCUGGCGGCAUGCCUAACACAUGCAAGUCGAACGAGACCUUCGGGUCUAGUGGCGCACGGGUGCGUAACGCGUGGGAACCUGCCCUUAGGCUCGGAAUAACUCUCUGACAGGGGUGCUAAUACCGGAUAAUGUCUUCGGACCAAAGAUUUAUCGCCUUUGGAUGGGCCGGCGUUGGUUUAGCUAGUUGGUAGGGUAAAAGCCUACCAAGGCGACGCUCCAUAGCUGGUCUGAGAGGAUGGUCAGCCACACUGGGACGGGGACGCGGCCCAGACUCCUGCGGGAUGCAGCAGAGGGGAAUAUUGCACAACGGGCGGAAGCCUGAACCAGCAAUGCCGCGUGAGUGAUGAAGUCCGUAGAGUAGUAAAGCUCUUUUACCCGGGAUGAUAAUGACGGUACCGGAAGAAUAAGCACCGGCUAACUCCGUG
This 433-nucleotide ribosomal RNA is filed under the name uncultured bacterium. RNAcentral's name for it is "partial 16S ribosomal RNA". It matches the Rfam family "Bacterial small subunit ribosomal RNA", at positions 29 to 507 of the family's 1533-position model. The record is from RNAcentral.